GAUAUAAAUUUUUUGGUGGAGCGGCUUACGUGUGAAGCUCCACA
Molecule: small RNA, 44 nt
Filed under: Arabidopsis thaliana (thale cress)
Lineage: Eukaryota; Viridiplantae; Streptophyta; Magnoliopsida; Brassicales; Brassicaceae
Description: ATSL290440
Source: RNAcentral